RNAcentral lists this ribosomal RNA (169 nucleotides) under Merluccius angustimanus (Panama hake). RNAcentral describes it as "partial 12S rRNA". The record is from RNAcentral. Lineage: Eukaryota; Metazoa; Chordata; Actinopteri; Gadiformes; Merlucciidae.
CACCGCGGUUAUACGAGCGGCCCAAGUUGAUAAAAAUCGGCGUAAAGCGUGGUUAAAAAAUGUUUAAACUAGAGCCGAAUAGCCUCAAAGCAGUUAUACGCACUCGAGGCCACGAAGUACAAUUACGAAAGUAGCUCUACCCCACUUUGACUCCACGAAAACCAUAAAA